CCUCACGUUUCGAUUCAGUCCCCAGGAGGCCGUGACCGAGUUUGGAGGCUUUGCUAUUUAUCCAGCUCCUCGCUGUUUGCUGUGCUGGCAGCUGGCGUCACCGGCCUGUUUGAGGUCUGGGCUUCCCAAGGAGUGCUCCCGAUUCCUUUCUGCACCUUGACAAUGCGAAGCCAGGAGAUCAGCACUGCUAGCAGUGACCACGCUCGGUCCCAAAGUUUGCACACACGUUUGAGAUUCUCCUGUUCAAGCAGCGAUGACACCCGCUUAAUGUGUUUGCUCAGGCAGAGAAAAGGCUUCUGACGUGGGCGACUCGGUUAUUCGAGUCAAAGCAAACCACAGACAGCAGCAGAAGACGCGUCGCCAAAUGUCAGAAUGCAGGCUGCUGAAGUGGAGCUGGAGAUGGCAUUUGCUCUCCGGGUAAUGAGGAAAGACCAAGUGUUUAUAAGGCAGGGGACGGGGUGGUUAGCUCGGCCAGAGAGAACAUGCACCUGAAGGAGUUCUGCCAAGCUUUGUAGAAAGGCACCCACCAUACAGUCUCAGGCACCCAGAAGAUCCUGUUUGACCACAAUGGCAAGCACCGUGCUGGCUGCUAUCCUUAUCGCUGUGGUCUUUUCAAAUGCUUUCCUAGCAGCCGCUUCUCCUGCCAUGCCUGCAAAGCCAAAGCUUCCAACAGCUCAGAGGCAGAUGUCAUUGGAGAUCCCCAUAGCUGAUCAACAAGAAAGGAUCCUGAAUUUUUUGUCAGCAUUUGAUCCACAAAAAAGUGCCAGUCCCGUAGCAGACGCUAGAAUCAGUGGAAUCACAGCUUACGACAAGACACAUGGAAAGAAAGUCGAAAUGGGAGGUGUAAAGGAAGGUCCAUCUGAUCCUCCGGCUGAACUGAGAAAGGACCUCCCAGCAAUAAGUCCUCUACAAGGGAAGAGCUUCUGGAUGCCUGCACUGCCAACCUCCUGGAAAAUUAAGAGAGGUGGGACUUAAAGAGUGAUGCUGUACCUUGUCUAUCUUGUUGCUGGGUCAUUUUGGUACCAUAGCUAGAGUUGCAGAAGGUGCUAGAAGUGCCUAACUAAAAAAAAGUCUAGUGUAACCCGUAGCUUGGUCACUCAGUUUCCCCUAAGAUGUACCCACAGGUGAGAAAUCAGUUCAGUCUCUAGAGCCAUCCAAACUCUGGAUUCAUGCUAAUCAUGACAAGUGUUGAUGAUGCUCAAAAUAAAGAAGAAUCUAUCUGGGCCA
RNAcentral lists this long non-coding RNA (1227 nucleotides) under Anas platyrhynchos platyrhynchos (common mallard). RNAcentral's name for it is "lncRNA (ENSAPLG00000024607.1)". The record is from RNAcentral. Lineage: Eukaryota; Metazoa; Chordata; Aves; Anseriformes; Anatidae.